GUCUGAGCCUGUCUCCACCGACGCGGUAACGAGGUGCACGUCAAGCAAAGAGCUUACCUUCCCGCGACCUAUCACGAAAACCGACCACCCACGGUUUCUCCGAAGCACGAUCACGUUACCUUAUAGAAUUUUCGUCGUCGACGAUUCUUCAGAUAAUCUGCGUCCCGGAUGCCAGCGUUAAUUAGAGAUAAUUAUCAUACCAUGGUUGAUCAACCGUUUUCACGUAAUUGCCGUCAUACAAAAAUUCUGUUUCCUAUGGUAAAUCAAAGAUGGCACUGCGGCUAGUAAUUGAAUCGAUAUCGAUACACAUCGAUGUAAACGAUUCGAUUUACCCUCGUAAUGCAAUCUAACCUAAUCGAUUUAGUAAAAAGGUUAACAAAGCUAAAUAUAUCUACAUAAUAAAAUUACGCAUUGCAUUCUAACUUGAUUACUUUCAACAUUAUAUAUAUCGUUGAUCGAUAAUCGAUAAUAGCAUGAUAGUACAAUAGAAAUAGAUAAAAGUCAUACAUAUGAAUAACUGGAUAUGAUUAAAACACGGUUAAGUAAAUAUUGAUCAGUGUGCUUCAUUAUUCGAUUAGGGAUUUGCCGUGUAUUCAACUAUAGAGGAACAGUGUAUGAAACGAUCUAUAAGCACGUUUUACCGCAGUUUGUCCACAACCCUUUGAUUUUUCCGCGUGGUUCGGACGGCGCCGUAUAAUCAACCAUAGGACACUUAUCAAACGCAGGGAAUGUUAUCAGUACAGAGAAAGAUGAAUCAAGGUGCCUGCACCCAUGUACGUACAAACGCACAUACCUACGAUCCGUCAACGUGUGUCACGUACAUUAACACGGAUUGCUGCGUUUUCACGUUGCCGAGCAAUGCGUGGUCUACAUCGCGAGUGCGUAAGUGUACGGGCUACGGGAAAGGAAAGAGGAAGAACAAGAGGGAAGAAGCAAAGAGAAAAAGGAAGAAAGACGAAGAAAGAAGGGAGAGAACGAAGGGAGAAGAGAACUCGGAUGUGCUGUGGAGCAGAGUCGUGUGAGGUGAGGGCGCACCUGGACCUUCUUCUCCAUAGGCGUACAAGGGCUCUCACUGCCUUCCACUCCACGAUUCAACCACCCAACGGACUGCCUCCAGUUACGUGUACCAAAGUUUCUUCUUUCUCUGUUUUCGACCCUUUCUUUUUCUCUCUCAUUCGCCCGUCUCUCUUUCUCUUUUUUUUAGCCACGUAGAUCGCACGAGAGCGUGCGUACCAUUGGAAUCCACGCCCGCCGACACAAAUGCGGUUUACAGCGGCUUUGCCAGAGCAGCGUGAUGCUUGGUAUUUUGUAAAAAAGACAAAUUUUACUAUUCCGGUAUCACGCAAAAAGAACAGAGAAACGUAAUACUAGGAUUAUAAAUGAAAAAAAGCGAUGGAACAUCGUGUGACGGUUUGAAGGAUCAUACAGUGGAAUUUGGAGAUUGCAGGAAAUUCUAAUGAAACGUUAAAUGCAUUAAAAACUGAUAGCGAAACUUAUAAGAACUGCACACGAGCGCUGUCUGACCAAAUUCAGUUGGUCGGAAAUGGUCGAGGCGCGUACCCGUAUGGAAUCCAGAGUGAACGCAUUACACGCAAGCGACGACUCGUACUCGAUGAAGAUGUAAGGGCCGCAUUGUGUCCUGUACCGUCGAGAGAACUCGAGAAUAAAGAGAGAGAGAGACAGAGAGAGAAGACGAGAGAGAAAGUAUUCACGUAUAUACUGAGCGGGACCGCAACUACUAACGUGGGGUAGAUCUCAGCGCGGAUAGUGCUUUAUUUCAUCAAAGGGACAACAAGGAAGCCGAGAUAACGCCGCAUGCUUCACAGAAAGGAGCACUUCGGAUAGAGGAGUAUGCACGGCACGCACGACGCGCUCGAUGAUCCAUAAUCGUGUGUAGUCGCAAUAACCACGCUCCAGUUGCAUCCUUCGUAAAAUUCUUCAAACAGUAAUCUUCAACGAAAAAUACCGCACAAUAACUUCCUCUUUUAAGACGAUGACAAUAAAUCUUAGAGUCACCGCAUAAAACUGAUAAAUAUAACAAAUAUGAUAAACGAAAAUGGUACAUCUUUUCUAAACGGUCUAAGAAACAAUUAUGUCACCAGUAUUAAUUAAUUAAUGCCAUUGCAUCGAAGGUUUAUAGAAUUUCGCUCGAGUAUGAAAGUUAGAACAGCAGAUGAACACGUAAUGGGAGCACAGAAACAAUAUGGGAAGCUGUACCAAUGGAACGAAAGGGUUGUUUACUGUUACCCAUGCGGGCUAUCGGAAGUAUCGGCUUGUGUCGCUGGAAUAAAGGCCGGAUAAUUUUAUGCGGGCAAUGCGAAUUAAAUAAGCCAUAUAAUACCUCUACUUGAUCGUGUAUCAUUAAAGAGGGUGACGAUAGAGGAGCCAAAGAGAGGAGAGGGAAGAAAAAGAGAGGAAAGGAGAGAGAGAACAAGAGCGUUGCUCGCUAUUGUUUUCUCGAGUGGUACUCACUGGUUCAAUGCUCGCCUGCUCUGGUAGACCGGUACCAGAUGUACCCGGACCGCCUGGUUUCAACUGUGAUACCAUGCCACGCCAUUCCUGAUGACUACGGUUCCCAGCUUACCAAACAUUUUUGCCAUUCUUCUAACCAGCAGCAACGCGUUAUUCAUUUACGCUAUUAGCUAAGUUCAGCUGUUUGCAUGGAUCAAGUCAAAGGUACUCGAGGAGAAGGACUAAGAAAAAUUACAGUCGCAGAUUUCUUACAACUAAUCUGAAAAUAACGGGUUGCUGACCUAAUUUAGCUUGACCUUAACACUGCAGCAAAGAAUGGAAUAAAAUAUUGGGACUAGGUUUUAUAACGAACUUACCUUCCAAUUGUUUUUAAUGGAUAGAUAGGAAAAUUCAGCUAACACGAUUUUGCGACCAACUAAAUUAUAUAUUUUUUUUUUGUUUUUAGUGCAUACAUUAAGAAAAUGUUCGCAUGUGAUGCGAAUAAGCUGUGAAUACAAUGAAAAUCAUAUAUGUGUUUCGCCUUUGGUUGAUUGUGCACUGACGAUAUGUACGAAUAAGUUUAAGAAACAAGGCGUUGACGCGAAAGAAUCGAUCGGUAACAAAUAAAAUUUUGAUAAAGGAAUGUCUAUUGCUGUGUAGUGAAUCUUUGCUUAUCACGUCGAUUGUAGAACUAGCCAUAUCUAAGAAUAUUAAGAAUCAAUUUUUUAAAUCUAAUGCUUCAAUAUCUUUGCAAAUUGAAGUUUGCAAAUUUCUUUUUAACAAUUCCGUUAAAUUCGUAACACAACAGUCAACGUGUUAACACUUUGCCCACGUUAAAUUCGACGAAACUCCUAAAGAAUCGUAACUUUAUUUGAAGCUUCGAGAGAUUCAUUGAAGUGCAAAUUUGUACGUCACCAAAAUAAGCGGCGAUCAGCGCGUUUACAAUUCUGUCUCUUUAGCAAAGCGUCAAUUGUUGCACCGGCGAUAGGAAUGAUGAAAUUUGAAGGGAAAGAACGGCAAUUGAUGUUGUUUAAAAGAAUACUCUGUAUUACAACUGGCGAAUAGCAUCCACGACGACAUUGUAACUCAGAAUACCGAUCAAUUGUUGUACCAACACCGAAUGAAAAAUACGCUUCAUCAAGUUAUACGAUUAAAAAAAAAAA
RNAcentral lists this long non-coding RNA (3614 nucleotides) under Megachile rotundata (alfalfa leafcutting bee). Its description in RNAcentral is "uncharacterized LOC105662322, transcript variant X1". The record is from RNAcentral. Lineage: Eukaryota; Metazoa; Arthropoda; Insecta; Hymenoptera; Megachilidae.